GCGGAUGUGGCGAAAUUGGUAGACGCACCAGAUUUAGGUUCUGGCGGGAGACCGUGGGGGUUCGAGUCCCUCCAUCCGCACCG
RNAcentral lists this transfer RNA (83 nucleotides) under Bartonella clarridgeiae. RNAcentral's name for it is "tRNA-Leu". It matches the Rfam family "tRNA". Rfam says of the family: Transfer RNA (tRNA) molecules are approximately 80 nucleotides in length. Their secondary structure includes four short double-helical elements and three loops (D, anti-codon, and T loops). Lineage: Bacteria; Pseudomonadati; Pseudomonadota; Alphaproteobacteria; Hyphomicrobiales; Bartonellaceae. The record is from RNAcentral. RNAcentral also lists the same sequence under 1 other name.